This 1034-nucleotide ribosomal RNA is filed under the name uncultured Methylobacter sp. Its description in RNAcentral is "bacterial SSU rRNA". It matches the Rfam family "Bacterial small subunit ribosomal RNA", at positions 350 to 1401 of the family's 1533-position model. The record is from RNAcentral. Lineage: Bacteria; Pseudomonadati; Pseudomonadota; Gammaproteobacteria; Methylococcales; Methylococcaceae.
AGCAGUGGGGAAUCUUGGACAAUGGGCGCAAGCCUGAUCCAGCCAUGCCGCGUGAGUGAAGAAGGCCUUCGGGUUGUAAAGCUCUUUUACCAGGGACGAUAAUGACGGUACCUGGAGAAUAAGCCCCGGCAAACUUCGUGCCAGCAGCCGUGGUAAUACGAAGGGGGCUAGCGUUAUUCGGAAUUAUUGGGCGUAAAGCGUGCGUAGGCGGUUCGUUAAGUCAGAUGUGAAAGCCCUGGGCUCAACCUGGGAACUGCAUUUGAAACUGGCGGACUAGAGUUUAGUAGAGGGGAGUGGAAUUUCAGGUGUAGCGGUGAAAUGCGUAGAUAUCUGAAGGAACACCGGUGGCGAAGGCGACUCCCUGGACUAGAACUGACGCUGAGGUACGAAAGCGUGGGUAGCAAACAGGAUUAGAUACCCUGGUAGUCCACGCCGUAAACGAUGUCAACUAGCCGUUGGUCCUAUUUACAGGAUGAGUGGCGCAGCUAACGCAUUAAGUUGACCGCCUGGGGAGUACGGCCGCAAGGUUAAAACUCAAAUGAAUUGACGGGGGCCCGCACAAGCGGUGGAGCAUGUGGUUUAAUUCGAUGCAACGCGAAGAACCUUACCUACCCUUGACAUCCAGAGAAUCUGUCAGAGAUAGUGGAGUGCCUUCGGGAACUCUGAGACAGGUGCUGCAUGGCUGUCGUCAGCUCGUGUCGUGAGAUGUUGGGUUAAGUCCCGUAACGAGCGCAACCCCUGUCUUCAGUUACCAACGGGUCAUGCCGGGAACUCUGGAGAGACUGCCCAGGAGAACGGGGAGGAAGGUGGGGAUGACGUCAAGUCAGCAUGGCCUUCAUGCCUGGGGCUACACACGUGCUACAAUGGCCGGUACAAAGGGCUGCAAACCCGUAAGGGGGAGCGAAUCUCAAAAAACCGGCCUCAGUUCAGAUCGAGGUCUGCAACUCGACCUCGUGAAGGCGGAAUCGCUAGUAAUCCCGGAUCAGCACGCCGGGGUGAAUACGUUCCCGGGCCUUGUACACACCGCCAUCGGA